RNAcentral lists this ribosomal RNA (879 nucleotides) under uncultured archaeon. RNAcentral's name for it is "bacterial SSU rRNA". It matches the Rfam family "Archaeal small subunit ribosomal RNA", at positions 455 to 1333 of the family's 1478-position model. The record is from RNAcentral.
GUGCCAGCCGCCGCGGUAAAACCAGCACCUCAAGUGGUCAGGAGGAUUAUUGGGCCUAAAGCAUCCGUAGCCUGUUCUAUAAGUUUUCGGUUAAAUCCAUUAGCUCAACUAAUGGGCCGCCGAAAAUACUGUAGAACUAGGGAGUGGGAGAGGUAGACGGUAUUCGGUAGGAAGGGGUAAAAUCCUUUGAUCUAUUGAGGACCACCUGUGGCGAAGGCGGUCUACCAGAACACGUUCGACGGUGAGGGAUGAAAGCUGGGGGAGCAAACCGGAUUAGAUACCCGGGUAGUCCCAGCUGUAAACGAUGCAGACUCGGUGACGCGCUGGCUUGUGGCCAGUGCAGUGCCGCAGGGAAGCCGUUAAGUUUGCCGCCUGGGAAGUACGUACGCAAGUAUGAAACUUAAAGGAAUUGGCGGGGGAGCACCACAAGGGGUGAAGCCUGCGGUUCAAUUGGAGUCAACGCCAGAAAUCUUACCCGAAGAGACAGCAGAAUGAAGGUCAAGCUGGAGACUUUACCAGACAAGCUGAGAAGUGGUGCAUGGCCGUCGCCAGCUCGUGCCGUGAGAUGUCCUGUUAAGUCAGGUAACGAGCGAGAUCCCUGCCUCUAGUUGCCACCAUUACUCUCAGGAGUAGUGGGGCGAAUUAGCGGGACCGCCGCAGUUAAUGCGGAGGAAGGAAGGGGCCACGGCAGGUCAGUAUGCCCUGAAACUUUGGGGCCACACGCGGGCUGCAAUGGUAGCGACAAUGGGUUCCGAAUCCGAAAGGAGGAGGUAAUCCUCAAACGCUACCACAGUUAUGAUUGAGGGCUGCAACUCGCCCUCAUGAAUAUGGAAUCCCUAGUAACUGCGUGUCAUUACCGCGCAGUGAAUACGUCCCUGC